This is a non-coding RNA of Nicotiana tabacum (common tobacco), 323 nucleotides long. NCBI's taxonomy places the organism in Eukaryota, Viridiplantae, Streptophyta, Magnoliopsida, Solanales, Solanaceae. The record is from RefSeq and is a predicted model, not a curated record.
UGGUGGUUUCAUUAAUGGACACCAGAAUUCUGAUCAAAUCACUACAACAAAUAAAGAAAAUAUUGAAAAUUCCAACAGUGCAUCAGAUGUUAGUGAACCAAUUAACAAUAGCAGAAGAAGAUCAUCAAGUGUUUCAAUAGAAGCAACAGUAAUGGAGAAGAGACAACGUCGAAUGAUUAAGAACAGAGAGUCUGCUGCACGAUCUAGAGCUAGAAAGCAGGCAUAUACAGCAGAAUUGGAAAUAGAACUCAAUCGACUGAGAGAAGAGAAUGAAAAACUCAAGUUACUUGUGGCUCAAGUUGCAACCAGAAGAAAAGAUGAGG